RNAcentral lists this non-coding RNA (29 nucleotides) under Mus musculus (house mouse). The record is from RNAcentral. Lineage: Eukaryota; Metazoa; Chordata; Mammalia; Rodentia; Muridae.
UACAGAGCAGUAUAGCUCUUCAAAGGAAC